Molecule: long non-coding RNA, 224 nt
Filed under: Gossypium raimondii (Peruvian cotton)
Lineage: Eukaryota; Viridiplantae; Streptophyta; Magnoliopsida; Malvales; Malvaceae
Description: long non-coding RNA (GRAI_LNC004893)
Source: RNAcentral
AUUGAUAUGCACAAUAAAAGGAUAAGGGUAAGAAAUGUUCAUUUAGAUGUGGAACCAAUGACACCCAAAAGCUUGAUCCAUCUUCUUUUACAAAAAGUCUUUAACAAGAAAAAGAAAUAAAACAACAAAAGCAAAAUAUACUCUAAAAAAAAGGAAAACCUAAUCUAAAAAUGAAAAGAAAAGAAAACAUAACCUAACACUACGGAAACUAAAGAGAAAUUGUU